This 137-nucleotide ribosomal RNA is filed under the name uncultured Clostridium sp. RNAcentral describes it as "partial 16S ribosomal RNA". It matches the Rfam family "Bacterial small subunit ribosomal RNA", at positions 372 to 525 of the family's 1533-position model. Lineage: Bacteria; Bacillati; Bacillota; Clostridia; Eubacteriales; Clostridiaceae. The record is from RNAcentral.
UGGGCGAUAGCCUGAUGGAGCGACGCCGCGUGAGUGAUGAAGGCCUUCGGGUCGUAAAGCUCUGUUACCAGGGACGAAACAAGACGGUACCUGGGGAGGAAGCCACGGCUAACUACGUGCCAGCAGCCGCGGUAAUA